UACGUAGGGGGCAAGCGUUGUCCGGAAUCAUUGGGCGUAAAGCGCGUGUAGGCGGCUCGAUAAGUCUGCGGUGAAAGUCCAGGGCUCAACCCUGGAAAGCCGGUGGAAACUGUCGGGCUAGCGUCCGGAAGAGGCGAGUGGAAUUCCUGGUGUAGCGGUGAAAUGCGCAGAUAUCAGGACGAACUCCAAUGGCGAAGGCAGCUCGCUGGGACGGUACUGACGCUGAGACGCGAAAGCGUGGGGAGCAAACAGG
RNAcentral lists this ribosomal RNA (253 nucleotides) under uncultured bacterium. RNAcentral's name for it is "partial 16S ribosomal RNA". It matches the Rfam family "Bacterial small subunit ribosomal RNA", at positions 524 to 776 of the family's 1533-position model. The record is from RNAcentral.